This 539-nucleotide ribosomal RNA is filed under the name uncultured marine group I thaumarchaeote. RNAcentral describes it as "bacterial SSU rRNA". It matches the Rfam family "Archaeal small subunit ribosomal RNA", at positions 353 to 893 of the family's 1478-position model. The record is from RNAcentral. Lineage: Archaea; Thermoproteati; Nitrososphaerota.
CAAUUUGCGAAAGCACGACAAGGUUAAUCCGAGUGGUUUUUGCUUAAGGAACCUUUUGUUAGUCCUAGAAACACUAACGAAUAAGGGGUGGGCAAGUUCUGGUGUCAGCCGCCGCGGUAAAACCAGCACCUCAAGUGGUCAGGAUGAUUAUUGGGCCUAAAGCAUCCGUAGCCGGCUCUGUACGUUUUCGGUUAAAUCUGUACGCUCAACGUACAGGCUGCCGGGAAUACUGCAGAGCUAGGGAGUGGGAGAGGUAGACGGUACUCGGGAGGAAGUGGUAAAAUGCUUUGAUCUCUCGAUGACCACCUGUGGCGAAGGCGGUCUACCAGAACACGUCCGACGGUGAGGGAUGAAAGCUGGGGGAGCAAACCGGAUUAGAUACCCGGGUAGUCCCAGCUGUAAACUAUGCAAACUCAGUGAUGCAUUGGCUUGUGGCCAAUGCAGUAUUGCAGGGAAGCCGUUAAGUUUGCCGCCUGGGAAGUACGUACGCAAGUAUGAAACUUAAAGGAAUUGGCGGGGGAGCACCACAAGGGGUGAAG